GGGGAUGUAGUGUAGCUGGCUUAACACACUGCCCUGUCAAGGCAGAGAUCGCGGGUUCGAAUCCCGUCAUCCCCG
Molecule: transfer RNA, 75 nt
Filed under: Endomicrobium sp.
Lineage: Bacteria; Pseudomonadati; Elusimicrobiota; Endomicrobiia; Endomicrobiales; Endomicrobiaceae
Description: tRNA-Asp
Rfam family: tRNA
About the family: Transfer RNA (tRNA) molecules are approximately 80 nucleotides in length. Their secondary structure includes four short double-helical elements and three loops (D, anti-codon, and T loops).
Source: RNAcentral